This is a long non-coding RNA of Rhincodon typus (whale shark), 1269 nucleotides long. RefSeq lists it as uncharacterized. The transcript has 3 exons. NCBI's taxonomy places the organism in Eukaryota, Metazoa, Chordata, Chondrichthyes, Orectolobiformes, Rhincodontidae. The record is from RefSeq and is a predicted model, not a curated record.
UCUACUGCAAGUGCCUUGUCAUGACUUUGGCUGCGAUGCGUUGACUUGUGUUUCCAUCAGCUGUUCACUCCUGCCGUAACUGAUGUGUGAUGACCUUCCCAGGCUACUGAGUGGCAAUGCAUGUGGAUGAACAGUUGCCAGCAUUGUGACUGAAUUAAUUAUGGAAUGUCUUCCGAUCAGGCUGCUAUUAAACCCUUGCUUCCAUUGCUGCUUACCACCCAUGGCAGGUUAAGCUAUGGAAUGGGAGAUUAGCUGAAAUAAUUGAAAUGCGCUGCUCUAUCAAGUGGAAGUGAAGGUGUUAACCCUUUAACAUGCUUCUUCGCGCACCUUUGUGAAACACCAUGGAGUUCUUAUUUAUUCAGCAGAAUAAUUGCUAAGAAAUGGACCCUGUGAUCUUUCUGUUUGCUCACAGGGAAGCUUAGCUCACAGGAGAAACUAUUCAUGCAGCUCACAACAGUGCUGUAAGAAAAGGUUCAACGGGAAGAAAAAGAGUAUUUUAGACCGCCUGCCCCAUACAAGGCCAUCAUUCAUAUGCAGAACCAAUUCCAUCAAUUUAACACGUGUCUGAAUUGACCCACGUUGAGCAUGUUAAAGAUUGGGGACAGUUAGCUACUGUGACAUGAGACCUCUGAUGGAAAAGCUAUAAAACUCUGGGAUGAAAAGAUCAAUGGUCGGGCAGGACUCAAACCUCUGAAUACAAAGGAUGAAAUGAUGUCAUUGGAGUAAUACUGACUGUGCAAUAUUGUAAGGAGUGUGAUAUUAUUUCAUUUACUCAAUAUGCCCUACCAUCAACAUCCAUUGCCAUUGAUCAGAAACAGAACUGGGCUAGCCAUAUAGAUGUUGUGGCUACAACAACAGGCAGAGGCUGGGAAUCCUGCAAUGAGUAACUCACCUCCUGACUCCCCAAAGUCUUUCCACAAUCUACAAGUAACAAGGCAGAUAUUCUCCACUUGACUGGAUGAAUGCAGCUCCAACGAAACUCAAGAAGUUAGGUAUCAUCCAGGACAAAGCAGCCCAUUUGAUUGGCAGUAUUAAACACCCCUGCACUGUAGGUGUAAAGGAAAAGACUGUAUCUCGCUCUAACUCCUGCAUGCCCCAGACACCGCCAAAGGAAAUAGAAUUUCAGCAAAUGCAAAGCAAAGAAUCUCAAAAUUGAUUGCUCAACUAUCAGUGGUAAUAUGAUUGACAUCACCCAAUAUAAUGGCUGCAAUGUCUCAUCAACUAUUUUCACAGAUAUUAGACACUGAUCCCUAUGUUUUAAACUUUAAU